CACAGCCAGAAGAGGACUGGCCACCCCUCAUAGCCUGGUUCCUCUCUAGGUUUCUAAUCUCCACCCAGCACAGCCAGAAGAGGACUGGCCACCCCUCAUAGCCUGGUUCCUCUCUAGGUUUCUAAUCUCCACCCAACACAGCCAGAAGAGGACUGGCCACCCCUCAUAGCCUGGUUCCUCUCUAGGUUUCUAAUCUCCACCCGGCACAGCCAGAAGAGGACUGGCCACCCCUCAUAGCCUGGUUCCUCUCUAGGUUUCUAAUCUCCACCCGGCACAGCCAGAAGAGGACUGGCCACCCCUCAUAGCCUGGUUCCUCUCUAGGUUUCUUCCUAGGUUUU
Molecule: long non-coding RNA, 338 nt
Filed under: Salmo salar (Atlantic salmon)
Lineage: Eukaryota; Metazoa; Chordata; Actinopteri; Salmoniformes; Salmonidae
Description: lncRNA (ENSSSAG00000094316.1, ENSSSAG00000120028.1)
Source: RNAcentral